CAAUGUGAUCAACUCUUCUUCCCAAUUGAAUGUUUUGGUUUGGAAGAAAUGUUUGGUGAUGGGCACCUGAUAAGGAGAGGUUUUCACAAUGAGGAAGACCAAGACUGAGAGAGACACUAUUGCCUGAGAACCUUGGAGUGAAUUGGUCUGUAUCAAACCUCCCGAUUUCACCAAUUGGAUAUUGCCCGAAAUUCCCAAUAAAAUUGGUCUGUCCUCCCAUGAAUGAGUACCCAUCUCUGCUCUGCCUCUCAUCCCCA
This 257-nucleotide long non-coding RNA is filed under the name Fragaria vesca (wild strawberry). RNAcentral describes it as "long non-coding RNA (FVES_LNC003073)". The record is from RNAcentral. Lineage: Eukaryota; Viridiplantae; Streptophyta; Magnoliopsida; Rosales; Rosaceae.